RNAcentral lists this long non-coding RNA (1471 nucleotides) under Homo sapiens (human). RNAcentral describes it as "HSALNT0405073". Lineage: Eukaryota; Metazoa; Chordata; Mammalia; Primates; Hominidae. The record is from RNAcentral.
AGGCAGCUGCUGAGAACUCACACAGACCCAUGAUCACACAGGACCGAGACACUAAUGAAUAGAAUGUACAUUUGUUCCUGCUGUGUGAUUGUCCAUCUGUCUGUGCCUGGACAACCACUCCAUCCCCACUGGAUGCAGUAAACAGCACCACUGCCCACUGGCAUUGUGAACCUGGUGUCCAUCACUGAGCUCUGCUGGGGAUAGUCUAUGUGGCAGCUGCUGUAGCUCUUGCUCAGAGUGCUGGAUCCCAGAGUAUUGCAGAAGCCCAAGUGGCCAGACCUAGAGCAAGAGCCCAAAAUCAGAACCCUGCAAGCUGGAGACCAGCAGGCAUUACCAUCUGGGGCUCCCGUAGGAGCUGGCGGUGCCAGGCCACGCUGUCCACUCGACUCUGCUGCUUGUUCCAGUGCAUGAGGAGGUGACCUUAACUUCCAGACAAUGUGGCCAGAUGAGGGAACACAGACUGCAUGGAGGACCUUGGAAGAGUUUGCGGGGCACAGCCCUGCUGGCACAAAGCCUGACACAGAAGGACACAGACACCCCUGCACGGUGAACAGUGACUGAUACUUGUCAUUUACAAGCCUCUUCUUCAGCUCAUCCCCAUGUUGAAAGCAAGAGCUGCUGAGGUAGGGUUACAUGCUGCCAAAAAUGAAAACUGAGGUUCAGAGAGUAUGUGAUUGCUUCAAUGGGCCCAGAGUAGUGAUGAGUUAUCCCCAGUGCUGAUGUGACAAAAUCUUGCCAUUCUACUCAUAGUGUUGCUUCUUCCAGGGCAGUGGAUGUAGGAGUCUCUUCUGGGAGCUGAACCUUUGCAGGAGGCUGGACUAGCAGGGAGAGAUGCAGAGAACUGUGGGCACAGGACAGGGUCCACCGAUUGCGAAAGCAAGAAUGGAAUGAGAAGUAUGAGCAAUGGAUCGAUAUACUAGUCGAACUGAAAUAAGAUAUUGUCAGAACUAUUUGUCCAAGGAAAAUCAGAUGUUCACAACAGAAGUUACAUUCUGAGCUAGAUUUAUCAGAGCCUCCAGCCAGGAUCACUGCACCAGGCCUAGAGAGCAGAGGGAAGAUUUGUGUCUCACUUUCCCAUGGGCCUGGAGCCCUGUGUAAGCCUCAGAGCCACUGUGAAAUCCACUGCCCCUGUGCAGACCCCGAGACAGACCCAUUCUCAGGCUGCAGCACAGCAACGUGCAAAAUCCUUGCACAGGCCGACGCAUCUUUAGAUCCCAAGAUGUGGCUGGGAGCCUCAGAGCCCUGUUUCUUACUUGAGUCCAAGUAGAAGUUCACGAGAUAUUAGAUAGGGUUCCCUGGAUUCUGCCAGAACCAGUCACCGAUUUCUUCUGAUGGAAUCACUGAUUCAUUGUGGUGAUUAUCCAAGGGUGUAUAAAUAUCUUAAAACACACAAAAUUGGGCACUUUAAAUAUCAGGGGUUUAUUUUGUUAAUUAUUCCUCAAUAAAAAGACACAUAAAAAAUAGGCUGAAA